RNAcentral lists this unclassified non-coding RNA (215 nucleotides) under Hevea brasiliensis (rubber tree). Lineage: Eukaryota; Viridiplantae; Streptophyta; Magnoliopsida; Malpighiales; Euphorbiaceae. The record is from RNAcentral.
CUUGUAUCGCUCCAGCAGGUCGAAGAAGCUUGCCGGAUUGCGCAGGCCCCUUGCCGCACUGUGCUCGACCACGAAUUUCUCGCCGUACAAUUCCGUGCGUCCGUCGAUAUAGGGCGCGACACCCUGCGAGAUCAGGUAGCCGCCGAAGUCGUAAUCGUUGAACACCCGCUUCGCCUGAUGCUGUUUCAGCGCCUGCACCGCCGCGGCCGGUGACA